UACGACCCCCACAUUUAAAUUAAAAAAAAAAAAAAAAAAAACAGACAUCAGAAACUGCCUGGGACAAUGACCAGAUAUUGGAUUUAAUGGAAAAAGACGUCAAAAUAUCCUUUAUAUGCUCCCAGAACUAAAGAAAAUCUUGAUUAAAGAAGUAAAAGAAGGCACGACGACAAUGUCACAUCUCGUAGAGACUGUUGAUAGACAGAAACUAUAAAAAAGAACCACGAGGAAGUCUGGAGCUGGAAGGCAGGAUGGCUGAAGAGAGUAAUUCUCUGUCGGGACUCAACAGUCGAUUUGAACUGGCAGAAGAAAGUGACUUGAAGAUGCAUCAGUGGAGAUGACACAAACCCAGCACAGAGAGCAAGUAGAAUUAGAAAGGCAAGGAGAGGCUUGGAGAACAGAGGGACACGUGAGGUCACCGAGGACGCACAGGAACGGGCCGGAGAAUGGAGGGACACGUGAGGUCACCGAGGACACACAGGCAUGCGCCGGAGAACGGAGGGAUGCGGUGAGGUCACCAAGGAUGCACACACAUGGGCUGCACUAGAGGGAAAGGAGAGAGGAAGAAAGAGAUGAAAAAAUGUUAAAAGAAAAAUGGUCGAAAUGUUGCAAAUUAGUUUUAAAAAAUAACCUGCAAACCAGGAUUCUCAUUGAACUCCAACUGGGGCAAACCUAUAGAGACUCACGAACUGAUACAUAAAAUGCUGAAAGUCAAUAAUAAGGAGAAAAUCUCAAAAGCCAAAACAAUAAAAUAAUGUAUCACUUAAAAGGGAACCCCAAUAAGGUGAACAUACGACUUCUAAGCAGCCACUAUGUGAGCCAGGAGGCAGUGGCCUAAGGUAGCCAAAGGAAAGGAAAGGAGACAAGAGGGGAGGGGUAGUGCGGAAUAGGGAGAGGGAGGGAGAAAGGAAGGCAGGAAGGGACGGAGGGAGGAAACCUGUCAGUCCCAAAUCCAGUGCUCCGCAGAACGUUCCUUCAAGACUGAAGGUGAAAGACUUUCAGAAAAACAGAGUUUGUUGCUAGCAGACCCAUCUGACAAAAAAUACUCAAGGAAGUUCUUGAGGCAGUGAGCAGGAAACUUUAGACAGUGACUGAAAUCACAGGAAGAAAACAGAGGGCCACUUACAAGACAGUACAAAUACACAUUUCUCCUUUUAAAACUGAUGUGAAAAGUGAUUGUAUAAAAUAAUGAUUAUCAGAACAUAUUCAUAGGUUUGUAACGUGACUGUUUAUAAAGCAGAAUGUAUAAAAGGGGGAGAAGGGAAUGGACGUAGCUACAUAGGAAUAGUGUUUUGUGUGUCACUAAACUAUUACAAAUCUGAAGCUGACUAACGUGAAAAUGAAUAUGGUAAAUAGUUGAGCAAUCCCUAAAGCAAAAAGAAAAGUUUUAAAAAGCUUCACUAAAAAUAAUGCAAAGAAAUAAAAAGAAAACAAAUAAAUGAGGGGAAGACAUAUGAAAAGUGAAAUGGCAGCUCUCCAUGCAGCUAUAUCAAUAAUAACAUCAAAUGAAAGUGGAUUUAACAACCAAGGAAAAGCAGACUGUCAGUCUGAAUUAAGAAAACAGGACCCAACUUUCUGCUGUCUACAGAACACGUACUUUCUAUUCAAAGAUUCACACAGAGACUAAGAUGAUGGGAAAAGAGCACCCAAAGAGCAGCCUCAGGAUGGCCGGGGAGGCUACUCAUGUGAGACAGAAAGCCUCUUGAAAACAACUGUAUGAAGAUGAAUGUUUACAGCGAUAAGAGCACCACUCUGUGAGAAAGACAUAACAAUUAUGAACAAAUGUGCAGUCAACAAGAGAACCCGAAAAUGUAUGAAGCAAAAGCUCAGAAUGAGGAAGAAAGUUCUACGACAGAGAAGGGGGACUCUACAGAAUGAGGGAGAAAGUUCUACCACAGAGAAUGGGGACUCUCUACAGAAUGAGGGAGGAAGUUCUACCACAGAGAAUGGGGACUCUACAGAAUGAGGGAGAAAGUUCUAC
Cebus imitator (Panamanian white-faced capuchin) is the source of this 1981-nucleotide long non-coding RNA. RefSeq lists it as uncharacterized. The transcript has 2 exons. Lineage: Eukaryota; Metazoa; Chordata; Mammalia; Primates; Cebidae. The record is from RefSeq and is a predicted model, not a curated record.